Molecule: non-coding RNA, 128 nt
Organism: Python bivittatus (Burmese python)
Lineage: Eukaryota; Metazoa; Chordata; Lepidosauria; Squamata; Pythonidae
Source: RefSeq, a predicted model, not a curated record
CGCUGAUGAGGCUGAAACAGGGCUGGAUCCCCUGCAGUUCAACGCGUCUUAGGAGGGAGGGUCUUGUCUCCUUCGAGGGGGUGGCUGUGUAUUCCUCCGAGGAGGAGUGGUCUCAGCUGGAUCCUCAC